This 504-nucleotide ribosomal RNA is filed under the name uncultured bacterium. RNAcentral describes it as "bacterial SSU rRNA". It matches the Rfam family "Bacterial small subunit ribosomal RNA", at positions 18 to 518 of the family's 1533-position model. The record is from RNAcentral.
CCUGGCUUAGGAUGAACGCUAGCGACAGGCCUAACACAUGCAAGUCGAGGGGCAGCGCGGGUAGCAAUACUCUGGCGGCGACCGGCGCACGGGUGCGUAACAGGUGUGCAAUCUGUCCAUAGUCGGGGGAUAGCCCAGCGAAAGCUGAAUUAACACUCCAUGUGAAUCGAAGCCGCAUGACUUUGAUUUGAAACGUAAGGACUAUGGGUGAGCACGCUUCUGAUUAGAUAGUUGGUGAGGUAACGGCUCACCAAGUCGACGAUCAGUAGGGGUUCUGAGAGGAAGGUCCCCCACAUUGGAACUGAGACACGGUCCAAACUCCUACGGGAGGCAGCAGUGAGGAAUAUUGGUCAAUGGGCGAGAGCCUGAACCAGCCAAGUCGCGUGAAAGGAUGAAGGUUCUAUGGAUUGUAAACUUCUUUUGUCCGAGGGUAAAAAAGGCUACGUGUAGCUUCUUGCAAGUAUCGGACGAAUAAGCAUCGGCUAACUCCGUGCCAGCAGCCGC